RNAcentral lists this ribosomal RNA (253 nucleotides) under uncultured bacterium. Its description in RNAcentral is "partial 16S ribosomal RNA". It matches the Rfam family "Bacterial small subunit ribosomal RNA", at positions 524 to 776 of the family's 1533-position model. The record is from RNAcentral.
UACGUAGGGGGCGAGCGUUGUCCGGAGUUACUGGGCGUAAAGGGCACGCAGGCGGUGCGGCGCGUUUCGCGUGACAGCGGAGGGCUUAACUCUCCGAGGAUGCGAAAGACGGCGGCACUUGAGGGCCAGAGAGGGACACGGAAUUCCUGGUGUAGCGGUGAAAUGCGCAGAUAUCAGGAGGAACACCGGUGGCGAAGGCGGUUCCCUGGGCCUUACCUGACACUGAGGAGCGAAAGCGUGGGGAGCAAACAGG